RNAcentral lists this long non-coding RNA (3142 nucleotides) under Nicotiana benthamiana. Its description in RNAcentral is "long non-coding RNA (NBEN_LNC032066)". The record is from RNAcentral. Lineage: Eukaryota; Viridiplantae; Streptophyta; Magnoliopsida; Solanales; Solanaceae.
UCCACAAGAGCAUUACAUUAUGGGAUGUUUAAAGUGCCACAAUAUUUACAACAUACAUGAUAACACUAUUUACAUAUGCGGUAUACGAUAACAUUUGAUUUUUUAUGAUAGUUCUUGGACAAAGAUAUCUGCAAACAAAUAAAUUGCAUGGUAAUUAGUGAAAGUUAGAGUACAUAUGAAACAAAAAUGACUUAAAUAAAAACGAAUAUUACACUUUAAGCAUGACAACAAAAACAAAAGAAAAUAGAACCUGUUUGGUUUAAUCAUGUCAAAAUAAAAUAACAAUGUUAGGUGGAACAAUUGCACUUAACUGGAGUGCCAUGAAAGCACAAUAAUUCAUAGAUAUCAGCAAAAAAAAUAAUACAUAUGAAUAUCUAUUUUAGCACUAUAUCAUCUUCAAAUUCAAUAUGCAAUUUCUAAAUUAGCUUUCAUAAUCAAUGCCUCUCAUACUUGCAGAUAAGAUUUCUAUUUAAAGCAUUUUCCUCUAUCACGUUUAUGACAAAUAACUAAUUGAAAAAGAUAGAGGCAUACAGUUCAGAUAUAUACUUUAAGAGGGAUUAGGUUUAGAAAAGUGUAGGAACUGAAAAAGUUAUCAAACAAAAGGAUAAUAAAAGAAACUAAUAUAAGGCACUGAUCAUAUAUACAUUGUAAAAGAGUAGUGUUGAUCUUCCCAAAAGUCAUGUUACAACUCAAAAAUAAAUAUUAAUUUAAUAACUUAAUCAUAAGUUUUUGCAGAAAUACAGGAGCAAGAAAAGGAACAAUAUGUUUAUUUUACUUCUCUAAAUAUCUUACUUUAACAUACAUCAUUUUCAAGUGUCCACUGAAUUAAAAUUAAAUUAAAGUUGAGUAUUGUAAGACAUGCACAACUUGCAUAUUCAAAUAGGUCGUGAUCAAUCCUAUCCGUAGUCUGCAUUUGGGAGUAUGAAGAUGUAACAGGGCAAGCAAACGAAAGAGCAACCAACAUUUUCCCCAGGACUACUAAGAAAAAAGGGCAUGUGUUUAGUUUAAAAAAUCUUAAGAGGCAGGUUUUUAAAGUGAGUUAAAACGAACCUUGCAUUCUUUCAUUCUGAUCAUAUCAGUAGAAUUGAGUGGUAAUUAAAGAUGAUAAUACCAAAAAAAUUAUUUUUGCAGCAAAAGAUCAAUCACUUUGCGAAUUUAGUGCAGAAGCUCAUAAAAAUAAUAAAAUUUGUAGGAAUUUGAAGACCCCUUUUUAACGGAAUACUUUUCCCUCCCGGGAUAAUGGUAAGGUUUGCGUAUACACUACCCUCUCUAGAGCCCAUUUUUAGAAUACACUAAUUCAUUAGGUUCCUUGUUGUUUCACUAGAUUACAUCUCUUUAAAUCAAAUGAAUAACUAAGAAAGAGUGUUUGGUGCACCCUGAUCACUUACUCUAAAUAAUAAAUAUGGCUUCGAAGAAAUAAUAUGGGAAAAAGAAAGUUUAGAUUUGUAAUCAAAUAUACUAACCUUGUGUUGUUGUGACAUACUUUGAGUACAGGAGCGUCCAGAAAAAGCAAGCGCAUAAGUGGUUUUAACUGCAUUUGAAAAGAGCAAUACUAAUACAGGAUGCUAAGAUAAUUUGUAUAGUAACUUUUAUCCAAGAUGACAAUACCACACAUGUUGCAACAAUAAAUUUUGGUCAGCAUGCACGAAAGGAGAUUGCGCAAAUCAUAAGGAGAAAUGCCAUAUUUUUGUUAGCUUGAUAUUUCUGGAAUCUCUUCAUAUUAAAUUAUAUUGAUUCCUUUUGUCAAUAAAUUAUACCUUCUUCUCUAUUUUUCUUUAAGAGAGUAAAGCAUAAGAGAACAUGUCAAAUAUAUUAUCAGAACCUUUUUUGAGUAUUUAACUCAGUUAAUUCUGUAAGAUCCAUAAUUUCAUUGAAUUUAAGCUCAUUCCUUUUUAUAACAAGAUCUGCAAAAAGGAUAAAUAAUGUAUUGGAAUUGUUCAAACUAAAUCUUAGAUGAAAAUAAAAAACUUUAUAUGAAAAAGAGUAGAAAGGAGUAACUUUUUUUCCUUUUUUAACUUCUUGUGUUGAAUACAAAAAAUUAUGCCAGUAUACUUGAUGCAUGCAAGUAUAAUAUUAUUUCAGUCGGCCUUCUUCUUCUCGAGGAGUCAAUCUAUCAUCCAUUAACUGAAAGAAUAAAAAUAUGCAUUAGAUAAACAUACAAUGUUCAAGAGAGAGGAUCUUUAUCUUUGAUGAAGACGGUCUAAAUUCCAAUGCUAUAUCUUGUAUAGUCUGAGUCGUUGACGGUAAUUGUUGGGAAAGAAACAUAGAAGGCCAGGAUAUAUUGGUAUGGCACUUAAAGGAUAGCAUAACAGAAAUACAAAGAAAACAUGUUCAAUUAUGUCGUGCCUUCUAAGGUUCCUCUAUAAUCUCAUUCUUUUUUAAGAAGGUUCUCAUGCCUUCUAAGGUUCCUCCAUAAUCUCAUUCUUUUUUAAGAAGGUUCCUUUAGCUCUUGUCAAUGAUACAUAACAAAUUGUGGAAUCGAGUUCAAAAAUUAACCUUAGCAAAAAAAAAUGAGUGAGAAGCCGAAACUGAGUAAAUAGUGACACAAUUGUGUCUAUUCUUCUAGAUAUAACUCCAUUUCAGGCAUUUGAACAAAUAAUAACAUGUAUGCGAAGAGCCCACAAAGACAACAUGCAGAAAGACCAAAAAGAACAGAUUUGGAUUCAAAAAUUAUAAAUAUAUAUAAUACAUUAAAUUGAAAGGACUCAAAAAUGUACAUACGCACAGCGAAUCAAAAUGUUGGAAUUGCAUGUCACUAUCAUUGUUACUUUAUGGUACAGUGUUGAGGUGCUGAGCUUCUUGAAUAAAUCAAUUUAAAGUUAAAUUGAAUGCCAGUAACAAAGAAGAAACAGAAGACUAAAUUUACAAUAAACAAAGGAUAAAACAAGUAGAAAAAUCUAGAUCAACAAACAAUGGAAACUAAGAACAAGAAGAAGCAAAUAGCAGAGAGAUGACACUAACUGAACACGGCGAGACCCAGCGGAGAAGAUAAUUGAACAGAGAAAGCUAGAGGGAAGGACAAAGCUGGAAAAAAAAUUGGAUCAAGAUGAAAAGAUCAAAUAUGUAAUGCAGUUGGUGGCUAUUAUUCUCUGAAAGAAAUGUGAGUUUUUAUAGAUAAAAUGUCAAAACUGUCGUUAACCUA